UACAGAGGGUGCAAGCGUUAAUCGGAAUGACUGGGCGUAAAGGGUGCGUAGGUGGCUGUUUAAGUGAGAUGUGAAAUCCCCGGGCUUAACCUGGGAACGGCAUUUGAUACUGGACGGCUCGAGUAUGGGAGAGGUAAGUGGAAUUUCCGGUGUAGCGGUGAAAUGCGUAGAUAUCGGAAGGAACACCAGUGGCGAAGGCGGCUUACUGGCCUAAUACUGACACUGAGGCACGAAAGCGUGGGGAGCAAACAGG
RNAcentral lists this ribosomal RNA (253 nucleotides) under uncultured bacterium. RNAcentral describes it as "partial 16S ribosomal RNA". It matches the Rfam family "Bacterial small subunit ribosomal RNA", at positions 524 to 776 of the family's 1533-position model. The record is from RNAcentral.